RNAcentral lists this small RNA (28 nucleotides) under Bombyx mori (domestic silkworm). RNAcentral's name for it is "ovarian small RNA-36653". The record is from RNAcentral. Lineage: Eukaryota; Metazoa; Arthropoda; Insecta; Lepidoptera; Bombycidae.
UUACUGUCUAGUGAGUAUUGACGUCUGA